This 774-nucleotide ribosomal RNA is filed under the name uncultured Neocallimastigales. Its description in RNAcentral is "partial large subunit ribosomal RNA". It matches the Rfam family "Eukaryotic large subunit ribosomal RNA", at positions 26 to 629 of the family's 3401-position model. The record is from RNAcentral. Lineage: Eukaryota; Fungi; Neocallimastigomycota; Neocallimastigomycetes; Neocallimastigales.
CGCAUCUGUGCAUGCAGCAUAUCAAUAAGCGGAGGAAAAGAAACUAACAAGGAUUCCCCUAGUAACGGCGAGUGAAGCGGGAAGAGCUCAAAUUUGAAAUCUUAAAGGGUUUCCCUUUACGAAUUGUAGUUUAAAGAAGUGUUUUCUGUUGAGGUUUUGGUAAAAGUUCUUUGGAAUAGGACAUCAUAGAGGGUGAGAAUCCCGUAUUUGACCUUUACUUUCAACUUUGUGAUACACUUUCAAAGAGUCGGAUUGUUUGGGAAUGCAGUCCAAAAUGGGUGGUAAAUUUCAUCUAAAGCUAAAUAUUGGCGAGGACCGAUAGCGAACAAGUACCGUGAGGGAAAGAUGAGAAGAACUUUGAAAAGAGAGUUAAACAGUACGUGAAAUUGUCAAAAGGGAAGCGUUUGACACCAGUGUUGUUUUUCUGAAAAUCAAUUAAAGAACUGUUUAUGCUAAGCUGUUUAGACUUUAUCAGCUAAUCUGUUUAGUUUUGAGCUUUUCUUUAAUGCACUUUUCAGUUAACAAGUCAACAUCAAUUUCUUUUGCUGUAAAAAAGCUUGAGGAAGGUGGCUUGAGAUUCGUCUUAAGUGUUUAUAGCCUCUUGCCUAUGCAGUCGGAGAGAUUGAGGUCUGCAGCGUAGAUCCUUCGGGGCUAAAUGCAUUUGUGCUAAGUUAUAACAUUUUAUAGACAACUUGUUGACUAUGAUUUGUCUUGUAGCUUACUCGCUUAUGUUAUUUUACCUACGCUUAGGAUGUUGACAGCAGUAUAGACUGU